Molecule: non-coding RNA, 208 nt
Filed under: Clostridium paraputrificum
Lineage: Bacteria; Bacillati; Bacillota; Clostridia; Eubacteriales; Clostridiaceae
Description: T-box sequence
Rfam family: T-box leader
About the family: Uncharged tRNA acts as the effector for transcription antitermination of genes in the T-box leader family. T-boxes are found upstream of many aminoacyl-tRNA synthetase genes and some amino acid biosynthetic genes usually in Gram-positive bacteria. The anticodon of a specific tRNA base pairs to a specifier sequence within the T-box motif, and the NCCA acceptor tail of the tRNA base pairs to a conserved bulge in the T-box antiterminator hairpin.
Source: RNAcentral
UUAAUGGCAGUGAUAAAGAGGAGUAAAAACUGAAAGUAUCAAAGAGAGAGGGGUAAGGUGUAAGCCCUUAUAUGGAAGGUUUUGAAGGUAGCUUUUGAGCUUCUUUAGUGAAAUUUAAGUAGCUAAAGACGGUUUUUCUAAAUCGUUAUUUAAUUAAGAGCCCAUGAAAGUGGGAAUAAAGGUGGUACCGCGAGUCUUCGUCCUUUUU